GUCCACGCCCUAAACGAUGUCAACUAGUUGUUGGGUAUGUAAAUACUUAGUAACGCAGCUAACGCGAGAAGUUGACCGCCUGGGGAGUACGGUAGCAAGAUUAAAACUCAAAGAAAUUGACGGGGACCCGCACAAGCGGUGGAUGAUGUGGAUUAAUUCGAUGCAACGCGAAAACCUUACCUACACUUGACAUGGAUAGAAUCCUGAAGAGAUUUAGGAGUGCUAGAAAGAGAACUAUUACACAGGUGCUGCAUGGCUGUCGU
RNAcentral lists this ribosomal RNA (263 nucleotides) under uncultured bacterium. RNAcentral's name for it is "partial 16S ribosomal RNA". It matches the Rfam family "Bacterial small subunit ribosomal RNA", at positions 793 to 1055 of the family's 1533-position model. The record is from RNAcentral.